This 274-nucleotide ribosomal RNA is filed under the name uncultured bacterium. Its description in RNAcentral is "partial 16S ribosomal RNA". It matches the Rfam family "Bacterial small subunit ribosomal RNA", at positions 523 to 796 of the family's 1533-position model. The record is from RNAcentral.
AUACGGAGGGAGCAAGCGUUGUUCGGAAUUACUGGGCGUAAAGGGCGCGUAGGCGGUUCAGCAAGUCUUGUGUGAAAUCCCCCGGCUCAACUGGGGAACUGCAUAGGAAACUGUUGGACUUGAGUUCGGGAGAGGGAAGCGGAAUUCCGGGUGUAGCGGUGAAAUGCGUAGAUAUCCGGAGGAACACCGGUGGCGAAGGCGGCCAUCUGGACGGUGACUGACGCUCAGACCCGAAAGCGUGGGGAGCAAACAGGAUUAGAAACCCCUGUAGUCC